Molecule: ribosomal RNA, 466 nt
Filed under: uncultured bacterium
Lineage: Bacteria
Description: partial 16S ribosomal RNA
Rfam family: Bacterial small subunit ribosomal RNA
Source: RNAcentral
GAUGAACGCUGGCGGCGUGCUUAACACAUGCAAGUCGAACGAUGAAGCCCAGCUUGCUGGGUGGAUUAGUGGCGAACGGGUGAGUAACACGUGAGUAACCUGCCCUUAACUCUGGGAUAAGCCUGGGAAACUGGGUCUAAUACCGGAUAGGAGCGUCCACCGCAUGGUGGGUGUUGGAAAGAUUUAUCGGUUUUGGAUGGACUCGCGGCCUAUCAGCUUGUUGGUGAGGUAAUGGCUCACCAAGGCGACGACGGGUAGCCGGUCUGAGAGGGUGACCGGCCACACUGGGACUGAGACACGGCCCAGACUCCUACGGGAGGCAGCAGUGGGGAAUAUUGCACAAUGGGCGCAAGCCUGAUGCAGCGACGCCGCGUGAGGGAUGACGGCCUUCGGGUUAUAAACCUCUUUCAGUAGGGAAGAAGCGAAAGUGACGGUACCUGCAGAAGAAGCACCGGCUAACUACGUG